GACGGCCAUAGGAGUUGGGUUCCACCCGGUCUCAUUCGAACCCGGCAGUUAAACCAGCUUCCGUAACGGCGUGUACUUCAUUACGAGGGA
This 90-nucleotide ribosomal RNA is filed under the name uncultured archaeon. The record is from RNAcentral.